CCCCUAGACGUUCUGGGCUGCACGCGCGCUACAAUAAUACGCACAGCGAGUAUCACCGAGCUCGAAAGGGCAAGGUAAACAAUAGAAAAGGUACUGUAAUGGUUAUAGAUCCUUGUAAUUAUUGAUCUUCAACGAGGAAUUCCUAGUAAGUAUGUGUCAUCAUCACGCACUGAUUACGUCCCUGCCCUUUGUACACACCGCCCGUCGCUCCUACCGAUUGAGUGAGCUGAUGAAACUGCCGGAUGUGGACUAUUCAUAGUCUGCAGAAGAUAUUUGAAUCGUAGCGCUUAGAGGAAGGAGAAGUCGUAACA
This 311-nucleotide ribosomal RNA is filed under the name uncultured eukaryote. RNAcentral describes it as "partial 18S ribosomal RNA". It matches the Rfam family "Eukaryotic small subunit ribosomal RNA", at positions 1470 to 1796 of the family's 1831-position model. The record is from RNAcentral.